CAGCCGCCGCGGGAAUACGUAGGUGGCGAGCGUUGUCCGGAAUUAUUGGGCGUAAAGGGAGCGCAGGCGGACAUAUAAGUCCAUCUUAAAAGUGCGGGGCUCAACCCCGUGAGGGGAUGGAAACUGUAUGCCUUGAGUGCAGGAGAGGAAAGCGGAAUUCCCAGUGUAGCGGUGAAAUGCGUAGAUAUUGGGAGGAACACCAGUGGCGAAGGCGGCUUUCUGGACUGUAACUGACGCUGAGACUCGAAAGCCAGGGGAGCGAACUGGAUUAGAUACCCGAGUAGUCCCUGUCUCUUAUACA
This 301-nucleotide ribosomal RNA is filed under the name uncultured bacterium. Its description in RNAcentral is "partial 16S ribosomal RNA". It matches the Rfam family "Bacterial small subunit ribosomal RNA", at positions 509 to 809 of the family's 1533-position model. The record is from RNAcentral.